RNAcentral lists this ribosomal RNA (235 nucleotides) under uncultured bacterium. RNAcentral describes it as "partial 16S ribosomal RNA". It matches the Rfam family "Bacterial small subunit ribosomal RNA", at positions 96 to 334 of the family's 1533-position model. The record is from RNAcentral.
CGGCGGACGGGGGAGUAAUGUCUGGGAAACUGCCCGAUGGAGGGGGAUAACUACUGGAAACGGUAGCUAAUACCGCAUAAUGUCUGCGGACCAAGGCGGGGGACCUCCGGGCCUCGCGCCAUCAGAUGAACCCAUAUGGGAUUAGCUUGUAGGUAAGGUAACGGCUUACCUAGGCGACGAUCCCUAGCUGGUCUGAGAGGAUGACCAGCCACACUGGAACUGAGACACGGUCCAG